RNAcentral lists this unclassified non-coding RNA (329 nucleotides) under soil metagenome. RNAcentral's name for it is "partial contains 5.8S ribosomal RNA, internal transcribed spacer 2, and large subunit ribosomal RNA". The stretch from base 1 to 120 matches the Rfam family "5.8S ribosomal RNA", at positions 35 to 154 of the family's 154-position model. The record is from RNAcentral.
GAUGAAGAACGUAGCGAAAUGCGAUAAGUAAUGUGAAUUGCAGAAUUCAAUGAAUCAUCGAAUCUUUGAACGCACAUUGCGCCCCUUGGUAUUCCGAGGGGCAUGCCUGUUCGAGCGUCAUUAUAACCCCUCAAGCUCAGCUUGGUGUUGGGGCCUGCUGCACUGGCAGCCCUUAAAAUCAGUGGCGGCGCCAUCUGGCUCUAAGCGUAGUAAUUCUUCUCGCUAUGGAGUCCUGGUGGAUGCUUGCCAUCAACCCCCAAUUUUUCUAUGGUUGACCUCGGAUCAGGUAGGGAUACCCGCUGAACUUAAGCAUAUCAAUAAGCGGAGGA